GUGCCAGCAACCCCGGGAAUCCGGAGGGGCCAGCCGUUAUCCGAAAUUCCGGGGCGUAAAGCGCACGCAGGCGGUUUGUUAAGUCAGAUGUGAAAUCCCCGGGCUCAACCUGGGAACUGCAUUUGAAACUGGCAAGCUAGAGUCUCGUAGAGGGGGGUAGAAUUCCAGGUGUAGCGGUGGAAUGCGUAGAGAUCUGGAGGAAUACCGGUGGCGAAGGCGCCCCCCUGGACGAAGACUGACGCUCAGGUGCGAAAGCGUGGGGAGCAAACAGGAUUAGAUACCCUGGUAGUCC
This 292-nucleotide ribosomal RNA is filed under the name uncultured microorganism. RNAcentral's name for it is "partial 16S ribosomal RNA". It matches the Rfam family "Bacterial small subunit ribosomal RNA", at positions 505 to 796 of the family's 1533-position model. The record is from RNAcentral.